This 465-nucleotide ribosomal RNA is filed under the name uncultured bacterium. Its description in RNAcentral is "partial 16S ribosomal RNA". It matches the Rfam family "Bacterial small subunit ribosomal RNA", at positions 28 to 507 of the family's 1533-position model. The record is from RNAcentral.
GACGAACGCUGGCGGCGUGCUUAACACAUGCAAGUCGUACGGUAAGGCCCUUUCGGGGGUACACGAGUGGCGAACGGGUGAGUAACACGUGAGUAACCUGCCCACAACUUUGGGAUAACGCUAGGAAACUGGUGCUAAUACUGGAUAUGUGCUCCUGCUGCAUGGGGGGGGUUGGAAAGCUCCGGCGGUUGUGGAUGGACUCGCGGCCUAUCAGCUUGGUGGUGGGGUAGUGGCCUACCAAGGCGGCGACGGGUAGCCGGCCUGAGAGGGUGACCGGCCACAUUGGGACUGAGAUACGGCCCAGACUCCUACGGGAGGCAGCAGUGGGGAAUAUUGCACAAUGGGCGCAAGCCUGAUGCAGCAACGCCGCGUGCGGGAUGACGGCCUUCGGGUUGUAAACCGCUUUCAGCAGGGACGAAGCUUUUUGUGACGGUACCUGCAGAAGAAGCACCGGCUAACUACGUG